GGGGAUGUCACGGUAUCGACAGCAGAAACGAGGUCGGACGCGCAUGUCGCAAGCGGUACGUAAACUGCAAUAUCUGCCGAAGAAAAUUUGGCUCUCGCUGCUUAAUUUAACCUAAGCAACGCGGGGGCGCGGGGGAGGGCACUGACUCCGCGUCCUUGUAAGAAAGGUGUGUCGGGGCAAUCGGGGGCGUUCCCGACCCGAUUGCCGGGAUUCCGGGAAACGUGACGCCGGUGGGUUUGUUCGCGCACCAGCCGUCGUCGAGAUCAAGCGCGGGCUAAGCAUGUAGGGCGACCUUCUGACAGUCUGUUGGACGCGGGUUCGACUCCCGCCAUCUCCACUC
RNAcentral lists this transfer-messenger RNA (340 nucleotides) under Spirochaetota. RNAcentral describes it as "JAFLEE01 sp017302015 Standard tmRNA". It matches the Rfam family "transfer-messenger RNA". Rfam says of the family: Bacterial tmRNA, also known as 10Sa RNA or SsrA, is named for its dual tRNA and mRNA-like properties. Its role is to liberate the mRNA from a stalled ribosome. Lineage: Bacteria; Pseudomonadati. The record is from RNAcentral. RNAcentral also lists the same sequence under 1 other name.